UCCCUACGGGUGGCAGCAGUAGGGAAUAUUAGAAAUGGACGAAAGUCUGAUCUAGCAACACCGCGUGUGCGAAGAAGGCCUUCGGGUUGUAAAGCACUUUUUGGAAGGAUUAGGAAGGAAUGUACUUCCAGAAUAAGUCUCGGCUAACUACGUGCCAGCAGCCGCGGUAACACGUAGGAGGCAAACGUUAUCCGGAUUUACUGGGCGUAAAGCGCGUGUAGGUGGUUCUGUAAGUAGGGCGUGAAAGCUCCUGGCUCAACUGGGAGAGGCCGUUCUAAACUGCAGAGCUAGAGGGUGGUAGAGGGAGGUGGAAUUCCGGGUGUAGCGGUGGAAUGCGCAGAUAUCCGGAGGAACACCAGUGGCGAAAGCGGCCUCCUGGACCAUUCCUGACACUCAGACGCGAAAGCUAGGGUAGCAAACGGGAUUAGAUACCCUGGUAGUCGU
Molecule: ribosomal RNA, 444 nt
Filed under: uncultured bacterium
Lineage: Bacteria
Description: bacterial SSU rRNA
Rfam family: Bacterial small subunit ribosomal RNA
Source: RNAcentral